UACGGGGGGGGCAAGCGUUGUUCGGAAUUACUGGGCGUAAAGGGCUCGUAGGCGGCCAACUAAGUCAGACGUGAAAUCCCUCGGCUUAACCGGGGAACUGCGUCUGAUACUGGAUGGCUUGAGUUUGGGAGAGGGAUGCGGAAUUCCAGGUGUAGCGGUGAAAUGCGUAGAUAUCCGGAGGAACACCAGCGGCGAAGGCGGCAUCCUGGACUGGUCCUGACACUCAGGAGCGAAAGCGUGGGGAGCGAUCCGG
RNAcentral lists this ribosomal RNA (253 nucleotides) under uncultured bacterium. RNAcentral describes it as "partial 16S ribosomal RNA". It matches the Rfam family "Bacterial small subunit ribosomal RNA", at positions 524 to 776 of the family's 1533-position model. The record is from RNAcentral.